RNAcentral lists this unclassified non-coding RNA (22 nucleotides) under Mus musculus (house mouse). RNAcentral describes it as "oocyte_clustered_small_RNA10532". The record is from RNAcentral. Lineage: Eukaryota; Metazoa; Chordata; Mammalia; Rodentia; Muridae.
UCGGGAGGCUCCGGACCGGACC